CAUUGCUCGUUGUAUUUUUUAAUAAGKWAGGCCUGCCCAGUGAUUUUCUUUCAACGGCCGCAGAAUUUUAACUGUGCUAAGGUAGCAUAAUAAUUUGUUGUUUUAAUGGCAACUAGUAUGAAUGGCUAAACGAUUCUUAACUGUAUCAUUUAUAUUUAAUAUAAAUUAUCAUAAAAGUAAAAAGACUUUUAUAAAAAUAAAAGACAAAAAGACCCUAUAGAGUUUAAAUUUUAAAAAUUAAAACAAUAUUAAUAAAAUUUUAGUUGGGGCAACUAGAAAAAUUAUUUUUCAAUAUUUUAAAAACAAUUUUUAUCAUUAAUAUUAAUAAUACUAAAAAAUUACCUUAGGGAUAACAGAAUAAUUUUUCUUUUAGAGUUCAUAUCGACAAGAAAAUUUAUGACCUCGAUGUUGGAUUAAGAUUGCUUUAAAUAGCAAAAUAUUUAUAAGCUAGUC
RNAcentral lists this ribosomal RNA (453 nucleotides) under Eleutheromenia sierra. RNAcentral describes it as "partial large subunit ribosomal RNA". Lineage: Eukaryota; Metazoa; Mollusca; Solenogastres; Cavibelonia; Pruvotinidae. The record is from RNAcentral.